This 719-nucleotide ribosomal RNA is filed under the name uncultured Verrucomicrobium sp. RNAcentral describes it as "bacterial SSU rRNA". It matches the Rfam family "Bacterial small subunit ribosomal RNA", at positions 68 to 795 of the family's 1533-position model. Lineage: Bacteria; Pseudomonadati; Verrucomicrobiota; Verrucomicrobiia; Verrucomicrobiales; Verrucomicrobiaceae. The record is from RNAcentral.
GGAUUUCAUUUGUAGCAAUACCGAUGAAAUCUAGUGGCGAACGGGUGCGUAACACGUGAGCAAUCUGCCGGGAAGUGGGGGAUAACUCGCCGAAAGGCGAAUUAAUACCGCAUAUGGCCAGGGAGGACAUCCUCCCGAAGCCAAAGUCGCAAGACGCUUCCUGAUGAGCUCGCGGCCUAUCAGCUAGUUGGUGAGGUAACGGCUCACCAAGGCUAUGACGGGUAGCUGGUCUGAGAGGACGACCAGCCACACUGGAACUGAGACACGGUCCAGACACCUACGGGUGGCAGCAGUCGAGAAUUUUUCACAAUGGGGGAAACCCUGAUGGAGCGACGCCGCGUGGAGGAUGAAGGUUUUCGGAUUGUAAACUCCUGUCAAAUGGGAACAAGAAAGUGAUAGUACCAUUAGAGGAAGAGACGGCUAACUCUGUGCCAGCAGCCGCGGUAAUACAGAGGUCUCAAGCGUUGUUCGGAUUCAUUGGGCGUAAAGGGUGCGCAGGCUGUGGGGUAAGUCGGAUGUGAAAUUUAGGGGCUCAACCUCUAAACUGCAUUCGAUACUGCUCCGCUAGAAGUAUGUAGAGGAGAUUGGAAUUCACGGUGUAGCAGUGAAAUGCGUAGAUAUCGUGAGGAAGACCAGUGGCGAAGGCGAAUCUCUGGGCAUUACCUGACGCUCAUGCACGAAGGCCAGGGGAGCAAACGGGAUUAGAUACCCCGGUAGUC